GCACCUAUGACUAGCAAUCUCCCACUUGACCUAAAGCCAAUCACCUAUGUGUCUGAUCCCCAUCAGACUCCUGUGACGCUCAAAGACAAUCUGAGACAACGACUUUGUUAGUGGAUCUGCAAUGUUAUCUUCGGAUGGAACUCUUUCCACUGCUACAUCUCCUCGGGUUACGAUCUCUCUGAUAAGUUGGAACCUCCUCAGAACACUUCUGAUGAGACCCGGGUUC
Molecule: long non-coding RNA, 226 nt
Filed under: Musa acuminata (dwarf banana)
Lineage: Eukaryota; Viridiplantae; Streptophyta; Magnoliopsida; Zingiberales; Musaceae
Description: long non-coding RNA (MACU_LNC004041)
Source: RNAcentral